Molecule: ribosomal RNA, 301 nt
Filed under: uncultured bacterium
Lineage: Bacteria
Description: partial 16S ribosomal RNA
Rfam family: Bacterial small subunit ribosomal RNA
Source: RNAcentral
CAGUCGCCGCGGUAAUACAGAGGGUGCAAGCGUUAAUCGGAAUUACUGGGCGUAAAGCGUGCGUAGGCGGCUUCUUAAGUCGGAUGUGAAAUCCCUGAGCUUAACUUAGGAAUUGCAUUCGAUACUGGGAAGCUAGAGUAUGGGAGAGGAUGGUAGAAUUCCAGGUGUAGCGGUGAAAUGCGUAGAGAUCUGGAGGAAUACCGAUGGCGAAGGCAGCCAUCUGGCCUAAUACUGACGCUGAGGUACGAAAGCAUGGGGAGCAAACAGGAUUAGAUACCCCGGUAGUCCCUGUCUCUUAUAC